This 72-nucleotide transfer RNA is filed under the name Ailuropoda melanoleuca (giant panda). It matches the Rfam family "tRNA". Rfam says of the family: Transfer RNA (tRNA) molecules are approximately 80 nucleotides in length. Their secondary structure includes four short double-helical elements and three loops (D, anti-codon, and T loops). Further hydrogen bonds mediate the characteristic L-shaped molecular structure. tRNAs have two regions of fundamental functional importance: the anti-codon, which is responsible for specific mRNA codon recognition, and the 3' end, to which the tRNAs corresponding amino acid is attached (by aminoacyl-tRNA synthetases). tRNAs cope with the degeneracy of the genetic code in two manners: having more than one tRNA (with a specific anti-codon) for a particular amino acid; and 'wobble' base-pairing, i.e. permitting non-standard base-pairing at the 3rd anti-codon position. Lineage: Eukaryota; Metazoa; Chordata; Mammalia; Carnivora; Ursidae. The record is from Rfam by way of RNAcentral.
GCCUGGCUGGCUCCACUGUAGAGCAUGAGACUCUUGAUCUCGGGGUUGUGAGUUCGAGCCCCAGGUUGGGCG